RNA transcript from Rhinolophus ferrumequinum (greater horseshoe bat), 4751 nucleotides. It is a transcript of the gene named coiled-coil domain containing 73, with no coding region annotated. The record is from RefSeq and is a predicted model, not a curated record. The transcript is spliced from 3 exons. Lineage: Eukaryota; Metazoa; Chordata; Mammalia; Chiroptera; Rhinolophidae.
UGGAAGCAUUAGAAGAAUUACGUAUGAGAAGGGAAGCAGAAAUUCAACAUGAAGAGCAGAUUGGUAAAAUUAUUGUGGAGACACAAGAACUGAAAUGGCAAAAGAUACUACCAGCAUUAACAGAGUUGCUGACACUUUGAAUAACUCGACUAUCCAUCCAGAUCCCAAGGGAGAGCCCAGUGAAGAGAGGAAUGCAAUUGCAAAAACUUUUUAUGAUUCUUCUUUUCCCACAGAACAUGUAAGUCAAUUAAAAAUAUUGCCAAGCAGACCUCAGUGAGCUAAUUCUACAGAUAUGUGUAGAACUGUAUGCAUCUGGAUGCUUUAAGACCCAACUGAUCUCCAAAAUAAUAUCAAGAGGGCAACAUGGCACCAUUUUUCACAAUUAAGGUUGAUAGAAAACAGCAGGAAAAAGUCACAGUGUAUAAAUCAAAUAGAUAUAAUCCAGCCUGUUCUGGGAAGGAGAGUGUGAGGUAGUGUAUUAUAUACUUCUAUUUUUCAGUCACCUAAAUUUAGGAAUAGUGCCAUUUAAGCAUUUAUUUGAACUUAAAAAAAAAAAGUUCACCAGUUUGAGCAUUUAAAAAUUUAUUUUAAUAAAGGUUUCCUUAAAUAAUCUAAUCAUGUACAUUCGUUUUUACUAGUGCUUAAGGUACUUGACAUUUUGAGAAACUGACUCUGAAAGGAAGAAGUGUAUCUUUUAAUUAUUUCAAUUAGAACACAGUAUAUGAAAGGAUCAAAUAUUCAUGACUGUAUCAAGUAUGGAUGUAAAUAUUAAGCAAAGUAUUUGUAGAGAUUAUAUGGCUCCAAGAGUCCAUUUGUCGCAUCAAAAGCAACUAACUACAGCUGACAGAUUUUUUUUUUUGGUAAAAUGUGUAAGUUUUUUUAUCUUAGUGUGUAAAACUUUAGUGCAAAAAAGGCUGUGUUGUUCAAAGUCUAAAAAACAAGACAGUUAUAGGUAUAACUGCUAAAAGUAACCUAAAAAGGUUAGGAAAAUUUACUUAUUUUAAAAAACUGCAGUGACACAUUUUAAAAUUACCGUAUAUUUUAAAUUUUAGAGAUGCACGUUAAACAACUUUGCCUUUUGCACAUAUAAAAUGAAAAUUAUAGGACUAACACAGCCUUAACAUGUAACAGCUUUUAACCAUAUAUUUCAUUUUCCUUUUCAAAUACGAGAAACCUCCACUGAGAUAGUGUAACUCUUCCUCUGAGAGAGUUGAAACUAAAGUCAGGAUCUACCUUUCACCUUUUCAUAAUUGCGCUCGGCAACAAAUAGUUGCAGCUUGAUGUGUCCAAGUGUGUAUCUUUAAAAUAUAGAAACCUAGCAUUGGGAAAUUUUUGACCAACUGGGUAAGUCACAGAAUUAACGCAAAAAGGAAGCUUGAGAAUAUCAAAGCUAGCCAAUAAUUUCUAAUUUGGUUGAAUACUUAACACUUACAAUAACUGUCCUAUUUUCAAACAGUUUCAGGUGGCAAUUUCACAUCUCCCUUUCAAGCCCAUUUUUAUGAUUAAGGCAAUAGGGAAGUUCUUUGUAUCUAACUCCUAAUGCUUUUCCUGCAAUUAAUGUUUUUGAGAAUUUACAUUUCUAGAAUUAAAACUUUUUCAAAGAAAUAUUCCCAUGACAGUCCUGUCCUGUAAGGUACGUCUAUUUUACAGAUGAGGAAACAGUGCCAUGGAUGUGAAAUAACUUUCCAAAGUAUUAAGAUACAAUCUGUGAUGGACUCAGACUGGAUAUCUUGCCUCUUAGUCAAAUGCUAUCUACUUCGUCAACUUUCAUAAUAGAAAAAAAUGUUUCCUUUCAAAAUACUAGUGCAUGUAAAACAAAUUCAGCUCAGUGGCUAAACAUUUUCUGGAUGCUUAUCACUGUGUGUCAAGCAGCAUGAUUACCAAUUAACAUGUAACGUGGGGCUUAAAAGCAGAUCUAUGCUUUUGCCUAGUCUACUGAAAAUGCUAUUAUCCCUGCAUUAAACCAGACAAAUCUAGUCUCUUUGUGAAGCCUAUUUACUUGCUCCUUAAUAUUUUAUACUUGUCUAAAUCAGGGUCUGUCAAAUGACAGCUGGUGAGCCAAAUGCAACCCACUGCCUCAUUUUAGUCAGUAAAAUUUCGUUAGAGCACAGCUACACCCAUUCCUUUACCAACUGCCCAUGGCUACUUUUGUGGUGCAAUGACAGAAUGAAGCAGUUGUGAGGGGUGACACUUGGCCCACAAAGCUGAAAAUAUUUACUUCUGGCUCUUUACAGAAAGUUUGCCAACCCUUGUUCUAAAUGAAGACAGAUGGAUUUUAUGAAGACUUAUAACCAGAAAGGGAACAGAAAUUCUUUAUAAUUUUCAAUAUAUUUUUAUGCAUACUCUCCCUAGGAAUCCUCUUGAAUUGGGUUCAUUUAAGUUAAAUUUUAAAAUGCAACCCCUAGGACUAGCACCAGGCUGGGGGAAAUUUUAGGGCAGAGAUCUUUUGAAUCAGGCAGAAUGAGGAGAUUAGGAGGUAAGUGAUUUUUAAAAGAAUAUAGGAAAGGAAGGCGCAAAGAUAUGUGGCAACAUGUCUGGAAUUAUUGCUUGUAAAAUUAGGCUGCAAAACCUCAAGUAAGCUACACAGGGCAAGUUUCGUUAAAUAUAAAAUUUUAAUCUACAUUACAUCUUGUUUAUCUCUACAGCCAAUCCCUUAUCUUGCCCCUCUCACCAAGUAGGUAGUUAAGGAGAAAGAAACUGAAGCAGAUAGGUGUAAAUGUCUCCUUCAUUUCCAUCAUCAUUAAGACAAAAAGUCAAAGAAUCAAGGUUUUGGAAAACAAGGUAAUUUGUACUUGAUGUCAAAUGCACCAAAAUGCAUCAAGCAAAUGGCAGAAUAAGACAGUUAAACUAUACAGAACACCAGUCAUUUAACUUCAAAAUCAGUAGCAACCUAGGUAUAGAUUUGAUCUAUUUUUCCGUAUCAGUAUUGCAUGAGUAACUUGUAUAUUCAUUUUGGCCCUGUUAGUUAAGCAUGUUGAACACUUAUAUGCCAGACAUUAUCAGAAGUAUACAUUUAUGCACAUUUUUAUCCAUUACCAGUUAUUCUUUACAAUAGUACUUUGUAACUAAAAGGAGCUUUUGAGAAAACUGAAGCCCACAAAAGUUAAAUGACUUGCCUAAAGUCUCUUGGCAAUCCUGUGCUGGUACUUUUGUUUUCAUGUCUGUUAUAAGUACACAGGCAAUCAGACUGAAAUGAACACAGCAUCAUCCCAAGGACCAGAGGCUAGGACUUUGAGGGGAUGGGUAGCUGACUGGAGAAUUCUCAGGAGCCAUGAAGAGCAAUCCUUAGUGAAAAAUAUUACUAUGUAAUCUCACUUCGUAACAUUGUCAUGCUACUUUUAUCAGUCAAAUUGGAAAAGAUUUUAAUGUAAGGCAAUACUCAAAAGAUUUUCACAAGACUUAUGAAAAAAUGACAUUCAUCAUAGCGUAAUUUGUAAUAAAUGUUUUCCAACAACUUAAAUGUUCAACAAUAUAUUCAGAUUAUGGAACAUAUAAUGGAGCAAUGCUCUUAACAGACUUAAUAGAGGGAAAUGCUAAAAAUGUUUUUAACACAGCAAAUAUGUGAUUCAAAAAUUUUAAGUUUAUAUAUACAGAAGAGACCAAAAUACUUACAUUAAAAUGUUUAAUGGUGGUUGGAAUCUUGGGUGAUUUUAAUGUAAUUCUUAUCCUGUUCCAUAUUUCUAAAAUGUAAUAUUCCCUUUUAACAGAAAUGGUAAUCAAUUUUUUUUCAAGAAAUUAACUCACAUUUAUUUGAUAGAGAUGAAGUGAAUAUUCAAUUAUGAGAUAGUUAAAUUAUCAUAUAUCCAUAAAAGAGAAUAUUUUGCAGCCACUGACAAUUGUUUAUGCAGAAUUCUAAUGACCUAGGAAACAGCUCAGAGGGAAAAACCAAGAUAUAAAAUUCUAUAGAAUAAUCAAAUAUGCUAAAAAUAGGAAAAAAGACUAGCAGCAAACAUUACCAAAAUGUUGGCAGGCCUCUGGAUAGUGGAUUACUAGUGAUUUUUACUUUAUACUUUUCUCUAGUUUCUAAAUUUCCAUUAAUAUUAUCAGGGGGAAACCUGAAAAUGAAAAACAUUUUUAACACAGUAUUAUAACCCAAUACAGUGCCUUGGGAACAUGCCAACUUCCAAGUACUGCAUUGCUCUUUCCUGUUUCUCCAACAAUGCUGCUUUGAAGCAUGAGAGGAAACAUGAAGUAAAAGGCAGUUUUUAUAUGGCAGUUUACUUCUGUUAGCAUUUUUAAUUUUCCCCUGGCUUCAAUAGAAGAUACAAAACAUAGACAUGUUUGGGAAGGAAGGGAGUAGAAGACAAAACAGAUUUUUAUCUGCAUGUUUUAAAUAUCGUUUCUUUCAGUGCAAGCUCUUGAGAAAACGUUUGUUGGCAUACUUGGAGUAUAUUAGGAAUCUUGAAAAGUUACUACAUAAGCCCACAAAUUCACAUUUUUUGGUGCCAAAACUACUCAGGUAGUUUUGUUGGAAAUUAGCCAAGAAAAUGGUAGCCUUAUUACAUGCUCAUAAUUACAGAAGCUUCAGGAUUUUCUUUAAACUCUUUUGUUGAUGAGUGUUUAGAAAAUGAAUAUAAUUUCAGUGGUAAAACAUAUGUGGUCUUUCCUAGGUGAAAGCAAAACCUCUGAAAUCAAAUCUACAAAGCCAUUUUCAGGCAAUCAAGAUUAAAGACAUUACUGAUUUAACUAUGUCUUUUACUUGUGAAGAUGACCAGCAGAGCUUGGUAACAAAUCAAAUAAACAAAACUGAA